This 578-nucleotide ribosomal RNA is filed under the name uncultured bacterium. RNAcentral describes it as "bacterial SSU rRNA". It matches the Rfam family "Bacterial small subunit ribosomal RNA", at positions 338 to 916 of the family's 1533-position model. The record is from RNAcentral. RNAcentral also lists the same sequence under 1 other name.
CCUACGGGAGGCAGCAGUGAGGAAUAUUGGACAAUGGAGGAAACUCUGAUCCAGCCAUGCCGCGUGCAGGAAGACUGCCCUAUGGGUUGUAAACUGCUUUUAUACAGGAAGAAACCGCUCUACGUGUAGAGCUCUGACGGUACUGUAAGAAUAAGGAUCGGCUAACUCCGUGCCAGCAGCCGCGGUAAUACGGAGGAUCCAAGCGUUAUCCGGAAUCAUUGGGUUUAAAGGGUCCGUAGGUGGAUAAUUAAGUCAGAGGUGAAAUCUUGCAGCUCAACUGUAAAAUUGCCUUUGAUACUGGUUAUCUUGAGUUAUUAUGAAGUAGUUAGAAUAUGUAGUGUAGCGGUGAAAUGCAUAGAUAUUACAUAGAAUACCAAUUGCGAAGGCAGAUUACUAAUAAUAUACUGACACUGAUGGACGAAAGCGUGGGUAGCGAACAGGAUUAGAUACCCUGGUAGUCCACGCCGUAAACGAUGGUUACUAGCUGUGUGGAUUUCGAUCUGCGUGGCUAAGCGAAAGUGAUAAGUAACCCACCUGGGGAGUACGUUCGCAAGAAUGAAACUCAAAGGAAUUGACGG